CACGAAGUUAGCCGGGGCUUCUUCUCCGGGUACCGUCAUUAUCGUCCCCGGUGAAAGAGCUUUACAAUCCUAAGACCUUCAUCACUCACGCGGCAUGGCUGGAUCAGGCUUGCGCCCAUUGUCCAAUAUUCCCCACUGCUGCCUCCCGUAGGAGUUUGGACCGUGUCUCAGUCCCAAUGUGGCUGAUCAUCCUCUUAGACCAGCUAUGGAUCGUCGCCUUGGUAGGCCUUUACCCCACCAACUAGCUAAUCCAACGCGGGCUCAUCCUUUGGCGAUAAAUCUUUCGCUCUCAAGCCACAUACGGUAUUAAUUCCAGUUUCCCGGAGCUAUCCCGUACCAAAGGGUAGAUUCCCACGCGUUACUCACCCGUCUGCCACUCCCCUUGCGGGCGUUCGACUUGCAUGUGUUAAGCCUGCCGCCAGCGUUCGUUCUGAGCCAGGAUCAAACUCU
RNAcentral lists this ribosomal RNA (450 nucleotides) under uncultured Hyphomicrobiales bacterium. RNAcentral describes it as "uncultured Rhizobiales bacterium partial 16S ribosomal RNA". Lineage: Bacteria; Pseudomonadati; Pseudomonadota; Alphaproteobacteria; Hyphomicrobiales. The record is from RNAcentral.